AAAUUUGGCAAGAACAUGGAGACGCGCCAGGCUUUCCACGUGUGCGCAGCGCUCCCAGCUGAGCAGGCGAGGGUUCUCUUCCGGGUCAGGUACACCAUGGACAAUGGCUGUACAACCGCUCAUCCAGAGCCCAUCAAUGAUCACUAUUCUUGAUUUAAAAGGACCACUUUGAGAGGAAGCCAAAUGGCGCUAUUGCAUGUGUGGACUUCAGAGCUCUAAACUCAACACCGUUGUGGAUUGUCAUCUUCUACCCAACAUCGGUGAUGUACUUCUCACCUUGAAAUAGGCAACAGUCUUUACUAACCUUUAUUUAUCCUCAGCUAAACGCCAGAUACCCUUUACUGUAAAAAGCCUGCAAGUGCAUAGCUUUCAUUAAAUCAGAAGGUUAGUGCCAAUUCAAUCACAUACCAUUUGGGUUAACUACUGCAGUGUCCCUAUUCUGAAGAAUGAUUCUACGGUGGAUGGGAGGAAUGCUGGUAUUUUCUGAGCAUCCUAGCAUUCAAUAACCAAAAGGUUAGACCCAGGUAGCUAGUGUUGCAUAAAAAAGCCUCUGCCUGAACUUAUUUGCAAAGCUACACCAAACUGUAGGGUCUAAGG
Molecule: non-coding RNA, 597 nt
Organism: Pelodiscus sinensis (Chinese soft-shelled turtle)
Lineage: Eukaryota; Metazoa; Chordata; Testudines; Trionychidae
Source: RefSeq, a predicted model, not a curated record